CUCCGGACGAAGGGUUCCUGCUCGGAGCGCUUCCCCCCCCGCCGGGCACCGGUUGCCACUCCGGACCCCCUUCUCCUCGUCCCCGCCGAGUUUUGGGGCCGCCCCCCCCGGCCGGUGCCCUCCGUACCGCCGCUCCCGACGGCAGCCCCGCGCUGGUGGGGGGGGGGGGGGGGAUGGAGGAAGGGGAUCAAUCUUUUCCGCUCCACUUCCCAUCAGAAAAGAUUAAUCAGAACCUGUAACUUUUCAGGAAACAUAACUGUAAAGUGCCACGGAGCGGUGGGAAGGCGGCCCGGAGAGGGUGGGCAGCUCAGCCCCCGGGCGCCGGGAGCAGCGUCUCUCAGCAUUUGCGAGACAAAGGCUGGAUGGACGUGGCCGAGUUCUCUCCCUCCCGCUCCCCAGUCUUGGUUCCGCCGGCGGGGCAGAGGAGGAAAGGAAGCGGAACGCCGACGCUUUGCCGUCCCGGCCGGCUCUGGGUGCUCGCUUGCCGCCUCCAGGCUUUUUCUUAGGGGGCAGCGAGGUGAGGGAUGCUGCCACCUCCCGCGUCCCCCUGCAGCGUCCCCGGGCAGCGCUGGCAGAGCCUCCCCUUCCCCGCCUAACACUUGGCUGAUAGCAAGGAGCGUGUCCCCUUCCAAAGAGCCCCCCCGUGUCGGCAUCCCCAUUGCGCCGCAUCUCCCCCCUCGGACCCUUCCCCGGCCCUUACCCCGACUCUGAGCCCGAAAUGGUCCCAGCAUGAGUGACAUUGGCUUUCCUAAUGUAAUGACUUAUGAAAGAUAUAAUCAUGUGUUAAAUUGAAUCCUCCGCUUAACUGUUAAUGGUGUGCUCUGGGCACAUUUACGUAUUAGAUGCUAUGGUAACUAAUUACCACUAGAAGAAGGGAUAAUACACUUUCCAGACUUUGACAAAUAAUUAUGAGUGUUCACAUCCCUGCUAGCAGCAGUGGCGGCGGAUCUGCUGGAAUGAGUAAGUGACUAAAUGAAUGGGUAAGUGAACUUGUGUGCAUGGAGGGACCGCAUAACGGAUAGUGGUCAAGUGAGUUUUCUUAUUAAAACCUUUAAUGAAAAUGUGAUUUAGAGUGGAAGGGGGGGGGAGGGGGGAAGCGCGACGCUGCCUCUAAACGUAAUUAAAUCGCGUAAUAUAAACAUCGGAAACAUAAAUAAGUUUGCUUUUAAUUAAAACGCGGCAGUCAAAGUAAAUUAUCCACGUUCCCGGAAACUUCGCAGCAAUUAACACUCGGGUUUUGGUGCUGGAGGGGGGCCGUGGGGGGGGGGCAAAAUCAACGACUUGGGACCCCACGGCUCUCUCCAGCGCCGCUCGCGUUCCUAUAGGCCGAGGAAGGACGGAGGUUCCCAGCGGAGCCGCUCCCGGCCGGGGCGGGACAAAACUUGGGGCAGCACCGCUGAAGGGCCGAGCCCAGAGCUGCGGGCAGCCCCGCGUCCCAUCAAGCCCAUGUCACCGCGUCUCCAUCAACCCCGUGACCCCCCCGCCCCCCAGCCCAGUGUCCCCGAGCCGCCGCCCCCCGGGGCCGUUCGGACCCUGCCCCGGAGCGGCCGUCCCGCAGCCUCGGAGGGGUUAACUCCUUCCUCUGUCCUCGCAACCCGACUCCGAGACGUGUCAUAAAAUAAGAAGUGAAUUGAUGGUCUGUUUCGAGCACUUUACUGCUGUGUUUUUAAAUUCAUAUACGCACAUGUAAGAACUAUGAUCCGUGGAUAAUUCGAGAUGCUGUAGGAAAACGAUGCGGUUUAGCUUCAACACAACCGUUUGCUUACCGUUUGAAAAUAAAGAGAAAGAUGCACUUCGAACA
Molecule: long non-coding RNA, 1801 nt
Filed under: Numida meleagris (helmeted guineafowl)
Lineage: Eukaryota; Metazoa; Chordata; Aves; Galliformes; Numididae
Description: lncRNA (ENSNMEG00000016823.1)
Source: RNAcentral